Molecule: ribosomal RNA, 721 nt
Filed under: uncultured Bacteroidales bacterium
Lineage: Bacteria; Pseudomonadati; Bacteroidota; Bacteroidia; Bacteroidales
Description: bacterial SSU rRNA
Rfam family: Bacterial small subunit ribosomal RNA
Source: RNAcentral
CUUAACACAUGCAAGUCGAGGGGCAGCAUGGUCUUAGCUUGCUAAGGCUGAUGGCGACCGGCGCACGGGUGAGUAACACGUAUCCAACCUGCCGUCUACUCUUGGCCAGCCUUCUGAAAGGAAGAUUAAUCCAGGAUGGGAUCAUGAGUUCACAUGUCCGCAUGAUUAAAGGUAUUUUCCGGUAGACGAUGGGGAUGCGUUCCAUUAGAUAGUAGGCGGGGUAACGGCCCACCUAGUCAACGAUGGAUAGGGGUUCUGAGAGGAAGGUCCCCCACAUUGGAACUGAGACACGGUCCAAACUCCUACGGGAGGCAGCAGUGAGGAAUAUUGGUCAAUGGGCGAUGGCCUGAACCAGCCAAGUAGCGUGAAGGAUGACUGCCCUAUGGGUUGUAAACUUCUUUUAUAAAGGAAUAAAGUCGGGUAUGCAUACCCGUUUGCAUGUACUUUAUGAAUAAGGAUCGGCUAACUCCGUGCCAGCAGCCGCGGUAAUACGGAGGAUCCGAGCGUUAUCCGGAUUUAUUGGGUUUAAAGGGAGCGUAGAUCGGAUGUUUAAGUCAGUUGUGAAAGUUUGCGGCUCAACCGUAAAAUUGCAGUUGAUACUGGAUGUCUUGAGUGCAGUUGAGGCAGGCGGAAUUCGUGGUGUAGCGGUGAAAUGCUUAGAUAUCACGAAGAACUCCGAUUGCGAAGGCAGCCUGCUAAGCUGCAACUGACAUUGAGGCUC